CCUACGGGUGGCAGCAGUCGAGAAUCAUUCACAAUGGGGGAAACCCUGAUGGUGCGACGCCGCGUGGGGGAAUGAAGGUCUUCGGAUUGUAAACCCCUGUCAUGUGGGAGCAAAUUAAAAAGAUAGUACCACACGAGGAAGAGACGGCUAACUCUGUGCCAGCAGCCGCGGUAAUACAGAGGUCUCAAGCGUUGUUCGGAAUCACUGGGCGUAAAGCGUGCGUAGGCUGUUUCGUAGGUCGUGUGUGAAAGGCGCGGGCUCAACCCGCGGACGGCACAUGAUACUGCGAGACUAGAGUAAUGGAGGGGGAACCGGAAUUCUCGGUGUAGCAGUGAAAUGCGUAGAUAUCGAGAGGAACACUCGUGGCGAAGGCGGGUUCCUGGACAUUAACUGACGCUGAGGCACGAAGGCCAGGGGAGCGAAAGGGAUUAGAUACCCUUGUAGUC
This 446-nucleotide ribosomal RNA is filed under the name uncultured bacterium. Its description in RNAcentral is "partial 16S ribosomal RNA". It matches the Rfam family "Bacterial small subunit ribosomal RNA", at positions 338 to 795 of the family's 1533-position model. The record is from RNAcentral.